This 493-nucleotide long non-coding RNA is filed under the name Drosophila guanche. Lineage: Eukaryota; Metazoa; Arthropoda; Insecta; Diptera; Drosophilidae. The record is from RNAcentral.
GAAAUUUAUUCACUGAUCUGGCCACGCGAUUUAUCUCUUUUCACUGAUCUAGCAGCGCGGUUUAUUUAACUUUAAAUUUCAAUUUGAAAAUAUCCUCAGGUUUGAAUUUUGCAUUGCAGAUUUGAGAAGAUUACAAAGCACCUGGUAAAAUCCAGUCAAUGCGACGAUUUCUGUUUGGAUGUGCACCGAGUGCGGGCUUUCCUCUGCUCCUCCCGUUUUGUGUCGUAAUCCUGGAGCAUUUUUCGCAGAUAGCAUCUGCAAAAGGACUUGGUCAAAUCGUCGAUUCGGGGUGGAAAUGGACAGCAAAUGCGUCCAUUCUUUAUCGGCACGAGUAUCUUCAAGAAAUCCGGCCUGACGGUACACAAGAUCUUCAGAAAGACCAUGUCACUGUUCCCUUGCAGCGGCGGCUUCGUGCCAAAGCGUUUUGUAAUAUUCCGAAAGCACAGCAUCUCGGUGGGUGGAGGUGCUCGAAAGGGGGAAAAACUAAACUGAA